GUCCACAGGGGCGGGAAUCGAACCCACAACCUUCCGCUUACCGGGCAGAUGCCAUGUCCACUAGGCUACCCUGGA
Molecule: transfer RNA, 75 nt
Filed under: Cordylochernes scorpioides
Lineage: Eukaryota; Metazoa; Arthropoda; Arachnida; Pseudoscorpiones; Chernetidae
Description: tRNA-Thr
Source: RNAcentral